GAGCACCAUCAUAGAGGUAGGGGGAGGCAGGAUAAUAUAGGGGUUUCCAAAGAGGAGACCUGGAAAGGGGAAAACAUUUGAAAUGUAAAUAAAGAAAAUAUCCAACAAAAUAGUUAUGGAUUGAAAAAUAUGAAAACAAAUACUGAAAAUAGAAUUCAUAAAGCUUAACCUUAAUAGUGCAAGACAUCUCUCAAAAGGAAAGAACAUGGAAAUUAAUCUGUGUUCUGAAAAAAUGCAUUAUUAAUGAGGUGACUAGAGAGAUGAACACUUCCAAAAUGAGAAAAACAGAUGAGGAAAGAACACAGAAGAGGAAAAACAUGAGAGGAAAGGAAACAAUGCUUUAGAAUGUGUGUGACAGGGAGAAGAGUAUACCUGUAGAGCAUGGCCUUUCAUGACCACUUUCUGAGGGUUUUAGCUUAAAACUCUAAAGGGUUGUGUAAUGUGGACCACUGAAGUCAUAUGAUGGAUUGCAUGCUCUAUGAUAUACUGCAGUGUAUACAUUGACCUUUCAAAGGCUUAAAGACCUUUUAAAUUAAAAGUGACAUGUACUAGAUAGACUGGUAGUAAAGUAUUUAUACCUCCUUCUUCAAACUUUAUCAGCCUCAGGUGAUGGAUUGGAGCUUUGGUUUGCAUUACUAAAUUGUCCCCUUGACAUUAUGUGCUUAAGAACCUAAGGACAGGAGAAGGGAAUGUGGCAAAAUGAAAACUGGAGAAAUCAUGAAUUAAAAUGUAGAUUUUGGUGCCUUUUGCCAUAGAUGCUGAUUUUUCUAGGGGCCUGAAUUUGGGAUAACAUCUCCAGACACGUAAGUCUCCUAAAAUUGAUCACUAAGGCUAUGCAUUAGUAGCUAAGCUCCACCCCCAAGUUCAUAUUCACACAGGUAGAAUUCUAAGUCAUGCAUUCUAGACAACCAGUUCUUCAAGUAUGUAUUUCAAAUACUCUGCUUCAGGUGAUUGUGGGCUCUAGAUAUAUGUAUUGGAGGUAUUUUCUCUCUAUUUCACUUUCUCUGAACUUGGUCAUUAACUAAUUUUUGAGACAGUAGUCCUAAAUGCACAUUUACCAGAUUGGACCAACCAUCAUUUAUUUCAUCCUGUUUAUGAAGCUUCUCUCCUGACCUGUUCUGAGAGGCUAAAAUACUGAUUAUCUUUAUGGUGUUCACUGUGUAUAAUGACCUGGCUCAUAUAAGCAGCCACAGGUAAUUAGUCAUGAUUGUGUAAUUAAUCUCCCAAAAGAGAUGUGAACUUUUUAGCACACACAACUUUAGAUAUAAUAAGAAGCAUAAUGAUAUUACUUGAGGCGAACAAGUGUGUAAUGCAGAGAAAUAUUUAAAGACUAAAACUUGCCCAUACAAUAAGCUAUUACUUUUUACUUGUUAACCCAUAUUUUAAUUUGUAUGUGUAUAUGUGAAGGAGAGAGACAAAGAGACAGAG
Molecule: long non-coding RNA, 1428 nt
Filed under: Mus musculus (house mouse)
Lineage: Eukaryota; Metazoa; Chordata; Mammalia; Rodentia; Muridae
Description: long non-coding RNA chr16:40476695-40478123
Source: RNAcentral